GAUGAACGCUGGCGGCGUGCCUAAUACAUGCAAGUCGAGCGAACGGACGAGAAGCUUGCUUCUCUGAUGUUAGCGGAGGACGGGUGAGUAACACGUGGAUCACCUACCUAUAAGACUGGGAUAACUUCGGGAAACCGGAGCUAAUACCGGAUAAUAUUUUGAACCGCAUGGUUCAAAAGUGAAAGACGGUCUUGCUGUCACUUAUAGAUGGAUCUGCGCUGCAUUAGCUAGUUGGUAAGGUAACGGCUUACCAAGGCAACGAUGCAUAGCCGAGCUGAGAGGGUGAUCGGCCACACUGGAACGUAGACACGGACCAUACUCCUACGGGAGGCAGCAGUAGGGAAUCUUCCGCAAUGGGCGAAAGCCUUACGGAGCAACGCCGCGUGAGUGAUGAAGGUCUUCGGAGCGUAAAACUCUGUUAUUAGUGAAGAACAUAUGUGUAAGUAACUGUGCACAGCUUGACGGUACCUAAUCAGAAAGCCACGGCUAACUACGUG
This 497-nucleotide ribosomal RNA is filed under the name uncultured bacterium. Its description in RNAcentral is "partial 16S ribosomal RNA". It matches the Rfam family "Bacterial small subunit ribosomal RNA", at positions 28 to 507 of the family's 1533-position model. The record is from RNAcentral.